AGGAAAGUAAAAAAGGGCGCAUGGCGGAUGCCUUGGCUCUCGGAGGCGAUGAAGGACGUGAUAAGCUGCGAUAAGCUUUGGGGAGGUGCAAAUGACCUUUGAUCCAGAGAUUUCCGAAUGGGACAACCCAAUAUCUUGAAGAGGUAUUAUCCAACGUUGUUGGAGGCUAACGCAGGGAACUGAAACAUCUUAGUACCUGCAGGAAAAGAAAAUAAACAAUGAUUCCCCCAGUAGUGGCGAGCGAACGGGGAACAGCCCAAACCAUCCAUGUUACGGCAUGGGUGGGGUUGUAGGACUACGCCGUUGCAUGAAGACAUCAGAGAAGAACUUUCUGGAAAGAAAGACCAUAGAGCAUGACAGUUGCGUAUUCGAAUGUUGUCGAAGCAUAGUAGUAUCCUGAGUAGCGCGGAGCACGAGGAAUUCUGCGUGAAUCUGCCGGGACCAUCCGGUAAGGCUAAAUACUCCCGAGAGACCGAUAGCGAACCAGUACCGUGAGGGAAAGGUGAAAAGCACUUCGAACAGAAGAGUGAAAUAGUUCCUGAAACCGUGCGCCUACAAGCGGUCGGAGCUCGUUAAUGAGUGACGGCGUGCCUUUUGCAUAAUGAACCUACGAGUUGCCUUUGCCGGCAAGGUUAAGUGUGACGACACACGUAUCCGAAGCGAAAGCGAGUCUGAACAGGGCGUAUAGUCGGCAGUGGCAGACGCGAAACCAAGUGAUCUACCCUUGGCCAGGUUGAAGGCUGGGUAACACCAGCUGGAGGACCGCACCAAUAAGCGUUGAAAAGCUUCUGGAUGAGCUGAGGGUAGGGGUGAAAGGCUAAUCAAACUUGGAGAUAGCUCGUACUCCCCGAAAUGCAUUUAGGUGCAGCCUUGCGGGUUACUGAUGUGAGGUAGAGCGACUGAUAAGAUGCGAGGGCUUCACCGCCUAUCAAGUCUUGACAAACUCCGAAUGCGCAUCAGUUCUACCGCAGGAGUGAGGGCAUGGGUGCUAAGGUCCGUGCCCGAGAGGAGAAGAAUCCGGACCACCUGCUAAGGUCCCGAAAUGACAGCUAAGUUAAACUAACGAAGUCUGACUGCUAAGACAGCUAGGAUGUUGGCUUGGAAGCAGCCAUUCAUUUAAAGAGUGCGUAACAGCUCACUAGUCGAGGAGUCGGGCGUGGAUAAUAAUCGGGUAUUAAGUUGUCUACCGAAGCAGUGGGAUCAUUUAUAUGAUCGGUAGGGGAGCAUUCCAGUCAGCGUCGAAGGCGUACCGUGAGGUAUUCUGGAGCGUCUGGAAAAGCAAAUGUAGGUAUAAGUAACGAUAAAGGGGGCGGGAAACCCCCUCGCCGAAAGACUAAGGUUUCCUGAUCAACGCUAAUCGGAUCAGGGUCAGUCGGGUCCUAAGGCUCAGCCGAACGGCGAUGCCGAUGGCAGAAACGGUUAAUAUUCCGUUACUACCUUCAGGAGUGACGUGGAGACGCAGUAGUGACAGUGCCGCCAUCUGACGGAAUAGAUGGUUGAAGGGUGUAGGAGUCGAUCAUGGCAGGCAAAUCCACCAUGAGAUCCGAACCUGAUAGUAUGCCGCGUCCUUCGGGACAAGGCAAUAGUGCGCGUAAGCAUGCUGCCGAGAAAAUCCGCUAAACUUAAUCCUGUAGGUACCCGUACCGCAAACGGACACACGUAGUCGGGAUGAAUAUUCUAAGGCGCUUGAGUGAUUCACGGUUAAGGAACUAGGCAAACUGACCCUGUAACUUCGGGAUAAAGGGUCCCUACCCUUUUAUGGGAGGGCGCAGAGAAUCGGUCCAGGCAACUGUUUAACAAAAACACAGGGCUGUGCCAAAUCGAAAGAUCCAGUAUACAGCCUGACACCUGCCCGGUGCUGGAAGGUUAAGAGGAGAUGUCAUCGAUAAGAGAAGCGUUGAAUUGAAGCCCCAGUAAACGGCGGCCGUAACUAUAACGGUCCUAAGGUAGCGAAAUUCCU
RNAcentral lists this ribosomal RNA (1960 nucleotides) under Phocaeicola vulgatus. Its description in RNAcentral is "partial 23S ribosomal RNA". It matches the Rfam family "Bacterial large subunit ribosomal RNA", at positions 1 to 1969 of the family's 2925-position model. Lineage: Bacteria; Pseudomonadati; Bacteroidota; Bacteroidia; Bacteroidales; Bacteroidaceae. The record is from RNAcentral.